Pelobates cultripes (western spadefoot toad) is the source of this 945-nucleotide non-coding RNA. Lineage: Eukaryota; Metazoa; Chordata; Amphibia; Anura; Pelobatidae. The record is from the annotation of a GenBank genome assembly.
GUUUUUUGCAGCCUGUGAUAUUAACACCGAGUCUGAGAUGGACAAUAAACCUAUGCCCAGCACAAUGCUUGGACAUAGAUUAUUAGUUAGAACGAGGAUUGCUGGAGACAAUGAGGACACGAAGGUGAUAACAGCAUAAUGCACUUUUAAAGUUCAUUAUCCAAUUCUAGAGGAGACCAUGCUGGAUUUUAUCAAAGAUAGACAUUUUGACAGCACCCCAAUAAUAUGGAUUAAAACUAAGAGAUACAGCAGAGCACCACAUAGAUGUAAGUUAUAAAUACAAUAUAACGAAGAAAAGGCUUUAAACGUGCACGUUAACACACUGGAUUUCGUGAAGAUGACUUGGAUAUCUCUUAUUUUAAAACUAAUGGGAUUGAAGGCACUAUUGAUGUUUCUCCUAAAUUUGUCAUGGCUGAUAUUUCACCUGAAAACUGUUUAGUACAUUCUUUAAAUUCACCAACCUUUGUCUGCGUUUUAUUUGAUGUAUGCUGUUUUUUAAGGUUUAACUACCUUUUUUCCCAAAUCAUGCUAUUUUUAAGGUUCUAAUCAUAACCUCCUUAGAAGAUCAGGUAAGAGCGACCAACUAAUCUAAAAGCCUCGGUGCCCAAAUUCAGUAUUAAUUGAAAUGUUUUGGACAGGUCAGUCAAUAAUUUACCAUACUCUGUCCUUUCUACUUUUUAUAAAUCUGGAUGUUGCACAACUGCUGUGAAUGGAGAACGAGAUGAAGCACAUUUAAAACAAAUAAGUUUGGGUGGAACAGCAGAUUGUUGUAGACUGCAGAUAAAUUAACACAACAAUCUUUUCAGGAUUAAAAGGCUUAAAAAAUGUUUAUGAACGGGUUUGAUUGCCAUUUCUAUCACACGUUUAUGCGUGUUUUUUUUUUCAUAAGUUUUGAAACCAAAUUUUGCAACAUAAGAUAAACACAAGAUAUAACAGAUAUUGCAG